Molecule: ribosomal RNA, 445 nt
Filed under: uncultured Gammaproteobacteria bacterium
Lineage: Bacteria; Pseudomonadati; Pseudomonadota; Gammaproteobacteria
Description: bacterial SSU rRNA
Rfam family: Bacterial small subunit ribosomal RNA
Source: RNAcentral
UGGUAGCCGUACGAGCGCAACCCCUUACCCUUUAGUUGCCAUCAGGUUCGGCUGGGAACUCUAAGGGGACUGCCGUGAUAAACCGGAAGAAGGUGGGGACGAAGUCAAGUCAUCAUGGCCCUUACGAGUAGGGCUACCCACGUGCUACAAUGGGCAGUACAGAGGGUUGCUAAACCCCCAGGUGGAACUAAUCCCAGAAAGCUGCUCUUAGUCCGGAUUGGAGUCUGCAACUCGACUCCAUGAAGUUGGAAUCGCUAGUAAUCGCGAAUCAGAAUGUCGCGGUGAAUACGUUCCCGGGCCUUGUACACACCGCCCGUCACAGCAUGGGAGUGGGUUGUACCAGAAGCGGGUAGGCUAACCUUCGGGAGGCCGCUCACCACGGUAUGAUUCAUAACUGGGCUGAAGUCGUAACAAGGUAGCCGUAGGGGAACCUGCGGCUGGAUCA